UAAGAGAGAGUCUCAAACCUCACAUAACAAUUGAGAUAAAUUUUUUGCUUCCUUUAUUUCAUAAUACUCAGCCUGUUAUAUAGGCUUUACAUGGCAUAAAGAAAUUCCAUAAAUAAGUUUCUGUUAAAUAGGAAAUAAAAUCAUCCUAAUAUAAAGGAAAUUACUAAUAUCAAGGAAAUUAGUUACUAAAGCUAAUCCCCUAAUUUAUGCAUAGAAAAAUAACAACUGAAAUAAAUAAAAGAUACUGGAUCCUAAAGAAUUCUGCUGCAAUCAAGUUUCCUUGGUGCUGCUAGUUCCAUGUUCACGUCUGCAGUAGUGCUAUCCCACAAAGGCAUCCACAACAUCACUCCCCUCCUGAGAAGGGAGCUUGUCCUCAAGCUCGAAGUUUGGAUAAGCAUGGCGGAAUUGGUCAAGGUCUUCCCAAGUUGCUUCUGAAGUUGGUAAAUGUGCCCAUUGCACUAGUAUCUCCCAAGUGCCUCUGUUCAAUCUAAUGUGAAGGACAGAAGCUGAAGUGGGUACCACCUGGCCUUUGACAAUAGGAGGAAGGAGCGGAACCUGAACUGGAGGGUCACCUUUAAAUGGUUUGAGGAGAGAGACAUGAAAGACAUCAUGAAUCUGGCUUGAAGGAGGAAGCUGUAACUGAUAUGCAACUUCACCGAUGCAUCGUAAAAUCUUGUAAGGACCAUAAAACUUGGGUGAGAGCUUAUGAUAAGGGGUGUUGGUAAGGGAAAGACGUCUAUAAAGAAGAAGACGUAACCAAACCAUAUCACCAACUACAAAUUGAACAUCAUGAUGACCCUUAUCAUAAUAUAUUUUCAUGCGUUACUAAGCCUGCUAAAGAUGUUGAUGAAUGUCUGCAAGAACAGAAUCUCAGUCUAAUAGGGCUUUGUCCACUGCAUCUUGCUUUACCAAUUUCUUGAAUUGCCUAAACUUUAAACUCUUUGCUUUUCUUGGCGGCCAAUCACUUCUCCAAGUGUGGGAUAAAUUUUUAAUGAAGGGAAUUAUGGGUUUUAUCGUAGGAAAAGGGAGAAAAAUUCAAGCUGAAAGCUUGAAAAAUCAAGAGAGAAUGUUG
Molecule: unclassified non-coding RNA, 1072 nt
Filed under: Hevea brasiliensis (rubber tree)
Lineage: Eukaryota; Viridiplantae; Streptophyta; Magnoliopsida; Malpighiales; Euphorbiaceae
Source: RNAcentral